GAUGAACGCUGGCGGCGUGCCUAAUACAUGCAAGUCGAGCGAACAGACGAGGAGCUUGCUCCUCUUACGUUAGCGGCGGACGGGUGAGUAACACGUGGAUAACCUACCUAUAAGACUGGGAUAACUUCGGGAAACCGGAGCUAAUACCGGAUAAUAUAUUGAACCGCAUGGUUCAAUAGUGAAAGACGGUUUUGCUGUCACUUAUAGAUGGAUCCGCGCCGCAUUAGCUAGUUGGUAAGGUAACGGCUUACCAAGGCGACGAUGCGUAGCCGACCUGAGAGGGUGGACGGCCACACUGGAACUGAGACACGGUCCAGACUCCGACGGGGAGCAGCAGUAGGGAAUCUUCCGCAAGGGACGAGAGCCUGACGGAGCAACGCCGCGUGAGUGAUGAAGGUCUUCGGAUCGUAAAACUCUGUUAGUAGGGAAGAACAAAUGUGUAAGUAACUAUGCACGUCUUGACGGUACCUAAUCAGAAAGCCACGGCUAACUACGUG
This 497-nucleotide ribosomal RNA is filed under the name uncultured bacterium. RNAcentral describes it as "partial 16S ribosomal RNA". It matches the Rfam family "Bacterial small subunit ribosomal RNA", at positions 28 to 507 of the family's 1533-position model. The record is from RNAcentral.